UUUUAUGGAGAGUUUGAUCCUGGCUCAGGAUGAACGCUGGCGGCGUGCCUAAUACAUGCAAGUCGAGCGAACGGACGAGAAGCUUGCUUCUCUGAUGUUAGCGGCGGACGGGUGAGUAACACGUGGAUAACCUACCUAUAAGACUGGGAUAACUUCGGGAAACCGGAGCUAAUACCGGAUAAUAUUUUGAACCGCAUGGUUCAAAAGUGAAAGACGGUCUUGCUGUCACUUAUAGAUGGAUCCGCGCUGCAUUAGCUAGUUGGUAAGGUAACGGCUUACCAAGGCAACGAUGCAUAGCCGACCUGAGAGGGUGAUCGGCCACACUGGAACUGAGACA
This 337-nucleotide ribosomal RNA is filed under the name Staphylococcus aureus. RNAcentral's name for it is "bacterial SSU rRNA". It matches the Rfam family "Bacterial small subunit ribosomal RNA", at positions 1 to 326 of the family's 1533-position model. Lineage: Bacteria; Bacillati; Bacillota; Bacilli; Caryophanales; Staphylococcaceae. The record is from RNAcentral.